This 484-nucleotide ribosomal RNA is filed under the name uncultured bacterium. RNAcentral describes it as "bacterial SSU rRNA". It matches the Rfam family "Bacterial small subunit ribosomal RNA", at positions 28 to 525 of the family's 1533-position model. The record is from RNAcentral.
GAUGAACGCUGGCGGCGUGCUUAACACAUGCAAGUCGAACGGAAAGGCCUCUGCUUGCAGAGGUACUCGAGUGGCGAACGGGUGAGUAACACGUGGGUGAUCUGCCCUGCACUUCGGGAUAAGCCUGGGAAACUGGGUCUAAUACCGGAUAGGACGAUGGUUUGGAUGCCAUUGUGGAAAGUUUUUUCGGUGUGGGAUGAGCUCGCGGCCUAUCAGCUUGUUGGUGGGGUAAUGGCCUACCAAGGCGUCGACGGGUAGCCGGCCUGAGAGGGUGUACGGCCACAUUGGGACUGAGAUACGGGCCCAGACUCCUACGGGAGGCAGCAGUGGGGAAUAUUGCACAAUGGGCGCAAGCCUGAUGCAGCGACGCCGCGUGGGGGAUGACGGCCUUCGGGUUGUAACUCCUUUCGCUGGGACGAAGCGUUUUGUGACGGUACCUGGAGAAGAAGCACCGGCUAACUACGUGCCAGCAGCCGCGGUAAUU